This 361-nucleotide ribosomal RNA is filed under the name Epipedobates anthonyi. Its description in RNAcentral is "partial 12S ribosomal RNA". The stretch from base 39 to 361 matches the Rfam family "Bacterial small subunit ribosomal RNA", at positions 875 to 1374 of the family's 1533-position model. RNAcentral also lists the same sequence under 1 other name. Lineage: Eukaryota; Metazoa; Chordata; Amphibia; Anura; Dendrobatidae. The record is from RNAcentral.
UCAGUCGUAAACUUUAACUUACAUCUUUCUCCUCGCCAGGGAACUACGAGCUAAGCUUAAAACCCAAAGGACUUGACGGUACCCCAUAUCCCCCUAGAGGAGCCUGUCCUAUAAUCGAUAACCCCCGUUUUACCUCACCAUUUUUUGUUAAUCAGCCUGUAUACCUCCGUCGUCAGCUUACCACGUGAGCGUGUGAGCUAAAUGUUUUUUCAACCACACGUCAGGUCAAGGUGCAGCAAAUAAAAUGGAAAGAGAUGGGCUACACUCUCUAUUCUAGAAUAAACAAAAGACUAAAUGAAACCCGGUCAGAAGGCGGAUUUAGCAGUAAAAUGAAACUAGAGCGUUCAUUUAAACAUGGCAC